RNAcentral lists this transfer RNA (73 nucleotides) under Homolaphlyctis polyrhiza JEL 142. RNAcentral describes it as "tRNA-Thr (AGT) (tRNA-Thr-AGT-1-1, tRNA-Thr-AGT-1-2)". It matches the Rfam family "tRNA". From Rfam's summary of the family: Transfer RNA (tRNA) molecules are approximately 80 nucleotides in length. Their secondary structure includes four short double-helical elements and three loops (D, anti-codon, and T loops). Lineage: Eukaryota; Fungi; Chytridiomycota; Chytridiomycetes; Rhizophydiales. The record is from RNAcentral.
GCCUUCUUAGCUCAGCGGUAGUAGCGCUUGCCUAGUAAGCAAGAGGUCGAGAGUUCAAAUCUCUCAGAAGGCA